RNAcentral lists this long non-coding RNA (1813 nucleotides) under Bos grunniens (domestic yak). RNAcentral's name for it is "lncRNA (ENSBGRG00000017652.1)". The record is from RNAcentral. Lineage: Eukaryota; Metazoa; Chordata; Mammalia; Artiodactyla; Bovidae.
GCGGAUUCUUCACUGCUGAGCCACCAGGGAAGCCCCACGUCAGGUCUGGGAGAAGGGAAAAGAGCAAGAAAGACUUGGUGCAGCUGCAGCAGGAGAGAGAAAGAGGCAGGGAACUGUUUACUAGGGGAAGAAAGAGAACCAGGAGAGACUCAGGAUGCUCAGCUGGUGGAAAGGAGAAACUGACCCUGGAUCCCAGGGACAGGCAAACCGUGAAAGUAUUCCUGGGCAGCUCCCUGACUUCCACAUUCCAGUCCUUCUUUGUUUCCAGAUAGCAUUAUUCAACCCUUCAGCCACUCACUCACUCACUCCUUCCCUCAUUUGUUCAUUCAUUCCUGUCCAGUAACUUCUAAUCCAGAGAUGAGGCCCAUGCCUGGAGCUGAGGCCAGAUGUGGAAGGCUCACAGGAUCCACAAGGGAGCUACUUGUGCAGGGCUCACUCUCGACUCCUUCCCACGGCUCCACAAACCAACGUGUCCAACUCAGCUUUCCAGGGCUUCAUUACAAGGCGGAUUCUUCACUGCUGAGCCACCAGGGAAGCCCCACGUCAGGUCUGGGAGAAGGGAAAAGAGCAAGAAAGACUUGGUGCAGCUGCAGCAGGAGAGAGAAAGAGGCAGGGAACUGUUUACUAGGGGAAGAAAGAGAACCAGGAGAGACUCAGGAUGCUCAGCUGGUGGAAAGGAGAAACUGACCCUGGAUCCCAGGGACAGGCAAACCGUGAAAGUAUUCCUGGGCAGCUCCCUGUCUUCCCUCUACCAUCACUUGCCACAGAUCUGCUGCAUCCUGUCAUACUCGCUGCCCCCUCCUCUAAGCCUGCCAGUUCUAUCAUGCCUCCACCAAGUGCUCAGAUGGGCUCUUCCCUGGUCCCCCCUCCGCCUCCUUCAUCACCCAUCUGUCCCAUUCCCACACUCUACGACGAAGGUGAAGUUCAUGGUGGCACUGGGUGCCCAGGUGGUUGUACUACAAAUGAAAAGUGGUGAGAGAAAAAUGGCUUGAAAACACAAAAGCAGAGGUGUUAACGAUGAUUUAAGGUGCUGACUUCUAUUAAAGGAGACUGUGCCAGUGAUAUGAUGAGGUUGGUGGAAAAAAUAUAGGAUAUUUAGAGAAACUUUAGCUUCUAAAGCUCUGCAUAAAUUUCAACAAUUUUUGAGGACAUCAUCAGGGAAGUUGUUUUAAAAUCAGGAUUAUAAUACCUGAAACAAUAUCCUGAAAAAAUUCAGAAUCUAGUAAACUUUGUUCUUCAAAACAUUUCAGGUAAGUGGCAGUGUUUGUGGUGGCAGUUGAGGCAAAUGAGGCAAGCAGGAAACACCCUAAAUUUUGAAGUUCAACAGCUGAGCAGGAGCUAAAACCAAUCUGAUAUUUGUCUCACUGCAGAUGCAGAACUGAUCAACAAGAUGGCAAUAAUGUGUGAUGUUUUAUUCACUUUCAAAUACUUAAAUUGAUUUUGAAGAUUUCAUUUGGGAAAUAAAAGUAAUGCAUUUAAGAAAAUAGCUUAUUUAAGCCAAGGGCAGAAAGAAGAUGACAAGAAAGAAUUUGCAGGGAAUCUCUUUUGUGUCUGGAUUCAAUUUUUACUUAUUCAGAUUUUUCAUCAGUUCUUGAUCAGCCCGCAAGUUGCAGGCUAGGAUUGCAUCAGGGGAAGGUGAUGUGGAUAGCCAUACGUUCCUAGGAGGCUAGGAAGGGCAAGUGUGUAGAAGUGUGAGUUCUUGUUAGGAAAUCUGUAAGUCAGUUUCUGUGGUGUUUUUCCAAGGUCACCACAGGUUGGACCACAGGUGGCUGCUUGCUGCCUAAUGCCCUCUUGUCCUGAGGCAGGGUAGCUG